Molecule: ribosomal RNA, 682 nt
Filed under: uncultured bacterium
Lineage: Bacteria
Description: bacterial SSU rRNA
Rfam family: Bacterial small subunit ribosomal RNA
Source: RNAcentral
UUUGGAUGUACCUAGUGGCGAACGGGUGAGUAACACGUGAAUAACCUGCCCUGGAGUGGGGAACAACAGUUGGAAACGACUGCUAAUACCGCAUAAGCCCACAGAGCCGCAUGGCUCAGGGGGAAAAGGAGUAAUUCGCUUCAGGAUGGAUUCGCGUCCAAUUAGCUGGAUGGUGAGGUAACGGCCCACCAUGGCGACGAUUGGUAGCCGGACUGAGAGGUUGAUCGGCCACAUUGGGACUGAGACACGGCCCAGACUCCUACGGGAGGCAGCAGUGGGGAAUAUUGCACAAUGGGGGAAACCCUGAUGCAGCGACGCCGCGUGGAGGAAGAAGGUCUUCGGAUUGUAAACUCCUGUCGUUGGGGACGAUAAUGACGGUACCCAACAAGAAAGCCACGGCUAACUACGUGCCAGCAGCCGCGGUAAUACGUAGGUGGCAAGCGUUAUCCGGAAUUACUGGGUGUAAAGGGAGCGCAGGCGGGAUAGCAAGUCAGCUGUGAAAACUAUGGGCUUAACCCAUAAACUGCAUUUGAAACUGUAUCUCUUGAGUGCUGGAGAGGUAGAUGGAAUUCCUUGUGUAGCGGUGAAAUGCGUAGAUAUAAGGAAGAACACCAGUGGCGAAGGCGAUCUACUGGACAGUAACUGACGCUGAGGCGCGAAAGCGUGGGGAGCAAACAGGAUU